RNAcentral lists this ribosomal RNA (484 nucleotides) under uncultured bacterium. RNAcentral describes it as "bacterial SSU rRNA". It matches the Rfam family "Bacterial small subunit ribosomal RNA", at positions 31 to 507 of the family's 1533-position model. The record is from RNAcentral.
GAUAGAACGUUGGCGGCGUGCCUAAUACAUGCAAGUCGAACGAAGACUGUAGUAAUACUGUCUUAGUGGCGGAACGGGUGAAGUAACGUAUCGGAACGUAUCCUGUAAUGGGGGAUAACCAGUCGAAAGAUUGGGUAAUACCGCAUACGCACGAGAGUGGAAAGUAGGGGAUCGCAAGACCUUACGUUAUAGGAGCGGCCGAUAUCUGAUUAGCUAGUUGGUGGGGUAAAGGCCUACCAAGGCGACGAUCAGUAGCUGGUCUGAGAGGACGACCAGCCACACUGGGACUGAGACACGGCCCAGACUCCUACGGGAGGCAGCAGUGGGGAAUUUUGGACAAUGGGCGAAAGCCUGAUCCAGCCAUGCCGCGUGCAGGAAGAAGGCCUUCGGGUUGUAAACUGCUUUAGUCUAGGAAAAAGGGGUGCGAGGUUAAUACCCUCGUGCUUUGAUGGUACUGGAAGAAUAAGCACCGGCUAACUACGUG